UAUUAGGUUGAUGCAAAAGUAAUUGUGGUUUUUGCCAUUAAAAGUAAUGGCAAAAAUAACAAUUA
Molecule: microRNA precursor, 65 nt
Filed under: Aotus nancymaae (Ma's night monkey)
Lineage: Eukaryota; Metazoa; Chordata; Mammalia; Primates; Aotidae
Description: miRNA (ENSANAG00000010258.1)
Source: RNAcentral